Argiope bruennichi is the source of this 1373-nucleotide long non-coding RNA. RefSeq lists it as uncharacterized. The record is from RefSeq and is a predicted model, not a curated record. The transcript is spliced from 5 exons. NCBI's taxonomy places the organism in Eukaryota, Metazoa, Arthropoda, Arachnida, Araneae, Araneidae.
CACGAAUACGCCUUUCGAAGUCCGCAUGGACGCUGACCAAACCGACGCGGAAGAAAUUACUGAAUUGUUGUAGCUGCUUUACAGAAUUGUAGCUGUUGUACAUUGAUAAAGGUUUCAACAUAAUGACUGUUUCCUCCGGAUAUAUGGGUGAUGCUUUAGAAUUUCGUCGAUUUUUUAUUUGGGAAAGAAGUUUACUGUUUACUGCGAAUCGAAAAUGGAAUGCAUUUAAGUCUCAAUUAAGAAAAGUUCUCAGAAAUAAUACUAUUGAAUGGCAGAAUCUAAUGUCUAUUACUUCAUGGCUAAAAGUAGUACAAUUUGUAGCUGGCAAAUUUUUGUCCAGCUAUGUUAGAGAGAAAUUCCGUGUAUUGAAACUUUUUAGAAACUGCAAUGCUAAAUUGCUGUUAAAAUGUGAUAUUAUAAAUUCCUUGCAACAUCCUGGAGAUGUGGAACUACAUCAUGUGGUAAUAAGGGAGGCUGUAGAGAGAGGACAAAAAAAAAAUGGAAAAGAUCAGCGAAGCGUUGUGUGGAGCUCAAACGAUUGUUAAAUUGAGCUGUGUGCCGAAUCCUGGUGUUUAUCGUAGAAGUCGCAUCGAGUCGUGUGAGGAGUAGCCAGUUGCAUAGUAGUGAGUCGGAAGCUGGAUAUAGCUAAAGCGAGGAACCAGUGGAGAUUUGCAGGCGUUUGGAGAAACCGUUGGGAGUAGUUACGAAGAACAUGAACAAACGAGAAGCAAGCAAGAGGGAGAAAAAUGGCUCUUCCAGGUUGCUGUUUAGUUUAACUUCAGAGCCUCUGCAGGAGAUUGUGUAACGAUGGGUGGUAUCACAUGUUAGGAUGUUUCCGGUAAACAUCAACUACUUUUUCAUUUGGUGGAAUAAAGCUUCAUAAUAAAUAAAGUUUUAAUUAACUAUAGGAUCAUAACAUAGCUUAUUUCAUUAUUCAGAUAUCACUGAUCUUUUUGUAAUAGCUUUCAGUGGAGUCGAUUGUUAUGAAAUAUGCCACAUGUCUUCUACGGCUGGGCAUAUCAUCAGAGAUUUCUUCCACAACUGAAAUAUUUCUGUUCAGUUAUCAUUGUAAUUUUAGGUUAUUUUCCUACAUUAUAUGGAAAGAAAUUAACAAAAUUUUAAGGAUUAUAUUUAUUAACUAUUUUUUAUCAUUCUUAAUAAUUUACCAGAUUUCUCUGUGAAAGUCCGCUUAAUAGAUAGUUUUAUUUCAUUGAACGAAUCUCUAAAUAUGCUAUUAAACAAUUAGUACUUGUUAUUUAUUUAAGCUGCAGUGUGUUUGUUUGGUUUUUUACAUUGUACAAGACUUUUUUUUAUUUAAUACAUACUAUGGCUAUGUCUUUAUGUACUAUAAUUUCUGUAAUAACAUUGUAUUG